Molecule: long non-coding RNA, 860 nt
Organism: Fukomys damarensis (Damara mole-rat)
Lineage: Eukaryota; Metazoa; Chordata; Mammalia; Rodentia; Bathyergidae
Exons: 5
Source: RefSeq, a predicted model, not a curated record
UGAAAUUGCGCUGUUACAAACAUGGAUGUGACUGGAUCGCUGUAAUGCAAAGUCUUCACCUAGUUUGGGAAGGCCAGUUCAGCAGUGAGGCCCAACACUUGUUCGUAUGGCUGUUGAAUUAAUGAGUGGACAUCACCUCAAAGAUCUGUAUCGGAAACCAAAAUGCACCCAACCAUUUUCCAGUCAAUGAUUUAUUAGUGACUCGAGUGCAAUUAACGAAGACGGGAUGUACCGGAAUGGCAGUUGUGGCCAACUGCAGCCUAUCUGUGGGAUGAGCUAGGGCCGUGGCAGCGAGCGUGUGGCACGUGUGCCAGAGCAGGUACACAGAGACCACUCUGUCGGCGUGAGCCAGGGCACCCAGCAGCCGGACAUCAGGUACCAGUCAUCUGUGUAGCCACCCCCGUGGCUCAUAUCCCCACCUGCGCUCCACCUGCUGUUGGACCAGCAGCAUGAGAUUCUCCUAGGAACUUGGACCCUUUCGUGAACAGCACAGGGCUUUUUCAAAUUGAGGUGGAUCCACAUAACAUGACUUAAACAAUUUGACGGCAUUCGAUUCUCUCAGCAUGGAUGAACCACUGCCUGUAUCUACUACCGCACGUUACCCUCGCUCCAACGUAAGGCCCCGUAUUCGCUCAGCGGUUGCUCCCCAUCCUUUCCUCCCCGUCUCCUAGCAACCACCUAUCAGCCGUCUCCAGGGUCUUGCCUUCUCUGCUGCCCGUACAAACGUAGCGAUGCAGGUGUGACCACACCUGGCUCCUUUCACUUCCUCAUCUGUUCCACCGUUUUAUAUUAAUAACAACAUAACAGAGUUCCAGUUUCUCCAAAUCUUUGUCUGCGCUUGUUAUCUUUCUUUGUUAAAA